AACAAUGAUCUAUGAACUCUAUUUAUAAUUUAUUUUGCACUACCAUAAACCAAGUCAUUACAAACACUACUUGCCUUCAUGCCUUGGUCCAUCAAGUAUUCUCAAGAUUUUAGUGUAAUAUCAAGUCAACAUUGUUUAGAAAACUUAGCCCAUUGAAUAACCUUAACAAGAACAUUUUCACAGAGCGAUGUGUUACUAUUUAUACAUCAAAGCUUAACCAGCUGCAGAUUUUUCCUACAUCAAAACUAAUUACUCGUCUAUGAGGUAGUUAUUUCACCACAUGCAAAUUUCUUCUGAUUACCGCCAGCACCCCUCAUAAGCAGUCCUGCUUUCUAUCAAGAAGUUGCAUCUUCAUCAAAUGUUAAUGUCUCAUUUUCUUCCUUGAUGUCUGAAUCCCAAUACUAUUUAUUUUCAUGGAUAUAGGACGCUUUGCUUCCACCUUAGUAUAUAUAUUCCUGCCAUGUCGUUUGUAAAGACAUGUCUACUUUGUAGUAUGCAAUGUAUCGUGCACCUGUGUCUUCUCAGCUAUCUGCAGGCAUUCUCCAGUCACCAGCUCUGACUGUUUCGCAUACACGCUGAUAAUUUUGCCUUGGUUGUAGGCAAGUAGGCUGGUAUAUUCAGCUAUCAUCAGGAACUCCUCUUCACAACUGUAUUUUGGCGGUAAAAAAUUCUACUGAGACCAGAUGCAUAAUCAUGGAGGUAGCUCAAUUUUCAAGGCAUAAGAUGGGUAAGUUAUCCCAAAAAAUGAACAACCAUCAUGCAUAUCCAUAUGGGAACGGAGUAUUAAUUACUAACCUUGAAGAACUUUUUUUUGAGAAAAUUACUAACCUUGAAAAACUUUUUUCUUGAACUUGAUGCUGCGGAAUGGUCAUUAUGCGUGUCCAAAUAAAAGGAACUGCUUAUAACUUGGCAGAUUAUGCAAAGCUAAAAGAAUAACUGAGUAGUGGAUGUUCAAGCAUCAAAAAAAAUCGACUGGAUUUUCCUUACCACACAUCAAGUCAAUCUUAACAUUUUUCUGACCCCAUGUCUUCUUCCUUCAGCAGCAACUUAAAAGAUUUCUGCAGAUAGGGUAAAAUCAUGAAGCACUUGUAAAAGAUUGUACUUAACUACAGAAUAAAUAUAAGACAUAUUAGACUUGAGUAUUAUAAAAGAAUGAUGUGAGUCCAGAAAGAAGUCCAAUUUAAGCCCAUGAUGUGCAAAUAGUCCA
Molecule: long non-coding RNA, 1207 nt
Filed under: Triticum aestivum (bread wheat)
Lineage: Eukaryota; Viridiplantae; Streptophyta; Magnoliopsida; Poales; Poaceae
Description: long non-coding RNA (TAES_LNC022059)
Source: RNAcentral